This 1256-nucleotide ribosomal RNA is filed under the name uncultured Acinetobacter sp. Its description in RNAcentral is "bacterial SSU rRNA". It matches the Rfam family "Bacterial small subunit ribosomal RNA", at positions 78 to 1328 of the family's 1533-position model. Lineage: Bacteria; Pseudomonadati; Pseudomonadota; Gammaproteobacteria; Moraxellales; Moraxellaceae. The record is from RNAcentral.
GCUUGCUACCUGACCUAGCGGCGGACGGGUGAGUAAUGCUUAGGAAUCUGCCUAUUAAUGGGGGACAACAUCUCGAAAGGGAUGCUAAUACCGCAUACGCCCUACGGGGGAAAGCAGGGGAUCACUUGUGACCUUGCGUUAAUAGAUGAGCCUAAGUCGGAUUAGCUAGUUGGUGGGGUAAAGGCCUACCAAGGCGACGAUCUGUAGCGGGUCUGAGAGGAUGAUCCGCCACACUGGGACUGAGACACGGCCCAGACUCCUACGGGAGGCAGCAGUGGGGAAUAUUGGACAAUGGGGGGAACCCUGAUCCAGCCAUGCCGCGUGUGUGAAGAAGGCCUUAUGGUUGUAAAGCACUUUAAGCGAGGAGGAGGCUCUCUUGGUUAAUACCCAAGAUGAGUGGACGUUACUCGCAGAAUAAGCACCGGCUAACUCUGUGCCAGCAGCCGCGGUAAUACAGAGGGUGCGAGCGUUAAUCGGAUUUACUGGGCGUAAAGCGUGCGUAGGCGGCUUUUUAAGUCGGAUGUGAAAUCCCCGAGCUUAACUUGGGAAUUGCAUUCGAUACUGGGAAGCUAGAGUAUGGGAGAGGAUGGUAGAAUUCCAGGUGUAGCGGUGAAAUGCGUAGAGAUCUGGAGGAAUACCGAUGGCGAAGGCAGCCAUCUGGCCUAAUACUGACGCUGAGGUACGAAAGCAUGGGGAGCAAACAGGAUUAGAUACCCUGGUAGUCCAUGCCGUAAACGAUGUCUACUAGCCGUUGGGGCCUUUGAGGCUUUAGUGGCGCAGCUAACGCGAUAAGUAGACCGCCUGGGGAGUACGGUCGCAAGACUAAAACUCAAAUGAAUUGACGGGGGCCCGCACAAGCGGUGGAGCAUGUGGUUUAAUUCGAUGCAACGCGAAGAACCUUACCUGGUCUUGACAUAGUAAGAACUUUCCAGAGAUGGAUUGGUGCCUUCGGGAACUUACAUACAGGUGCUGCAUGGCUGUCGUCAGCUCGUGUCGUGAGAUGUUGGGUUAAGUCCCGCAACGAGCGCAACCCUUUUCCUUAUUUGCCAGCACUUCGGGUGGGAACUUUAAGGAUACUGCCAGUGACAAACUGGAGGAAGGCGGGGACGACGUCAAGUCAUCAUGGCCCUUACGACCAGGGCUACACACGUGCUACAAUGGUCGGUACAAAGGGUUGCUACCUAGCGAUAGGAUGCUAAUCUCAAAAAGCCGAUCGUAGUCCGGAUUGGAGUCUGCAACUCGACUCCAUGAAGUCG